This 274-nucleotide ribosomal RNA is filed under the name uncultured bacterium. Its description in RNAcentral is "partial 16S ribosomal RNA". It matches the Rfam family "Bacterial small subunit ribosomal RNA", at positions 523 to 796 of the family's 1533-position model. The record is from RNAcentral.
AUACGGAGGGGGCUAGCGUUGUUCGGAAUUACUGGGCGUAAAGCGUACGUAGGCGGACUGAUCAGUUGGGGGUGAAAUCCCAGGGCUUAACCCUGGAACUGCCUUCAAUACUGUCAGUCUUGAGUUUGGGAGAGGUGAGUGGAAUUCCUAGUGUAGAGGUGAAAUUCAUAGAUAUUAGGAGGAACACCAGUGGCGAAGGCGGCUCACUGUCCCAUUACUGACGCUGAGGUACGAAAGCGUGGAGAGCAAACAGGAUUAGAUACCCUAGUAGUCC